RNAcentral lists this ribosomal RNA (253 nucleotides) under uncultured bacterium. Its description in RNAcentral is "partial 16S ribosomal RNA". It matches the Rfam family "Bacterial small subunit ribosomal RNA", at positions 524 to 776 of the family's 1533-position model. The record is from RNAcentral.
UACGGAGGGUGCGAGCGUUGUCCGGAAUCACUGGGCGUAAAGGGCGCGUAGGCGGCAUGCCAAGCGUGUGGUGAAAGCCCGGGGCUCAACCCCGGGUCGGCCGUGCGGACUGGCGUGCUCGAGCACUGUAGGGGCGGGUGGAAUUCCGGGUGUAGCGGUGGAAUGCGUAGAGAUCCGGAAGAACACCGGUGGCGAAGGCGGCCUUCUGGACAGUGACUGACGCUGAGACGCGAAAGCGUGGGGAGCAAACAGG